This 224-nucleotide ribosomal RNA is filed under the name Pessonella sp. PRA-29. Its description in RNAcentral is "partial Bacterial large subunit ribosomal RNA". It matches the Rfam family "Bacterial large subunit ribosomal RNA", at positions 2103 to 2325 of the family's 2925-position model. Lineage: Eukaryota; Discosea; Flabellinia; Vannellidae. The record is from RNAcentral.
ACUGUAAGCUGUCACUGGUUUUUCGAUUUCGAUGCUCAGUGUAAGUGGGAGACUUUGAAGCAGUGCUUUAGGGCACUGUGGAGUCGUCAAUGAGACACCACCCUUUGGAUUUGGAAAAUCUAACAUCCUGCCUUGAAUCAGGCGGAUGGACAAUGGCAGCCGGUCAGUUUUACUGGGGCGGUAUCCUCCUAAAAAGUAACGGAGGAGCGCGAAGUUUGGCUCAG